CAAUAGCGUAUAUUAAAGUUGUUGCAGUUAAAAAGCUCGUAGUUGAAUUUCUGGCGGGCGCGCCGGUCUUCCAAGUGUUGUACUGGGCGCAGUCCGCCAUCCUUGUGGAGAGGGCUCGCAUUGAGUUGCGUGUCGGAUCUGCAUCAUUUACUGUGAAAAAAUUAGAGUGUUUAAAGCAGGCUGUCGCUUGAAUACAUUAGCAUGGAAUAAUAAGAUAGGACUUCGGUCUAUUUUGUUGGUUGCGAACCGAGGUAAUGAUUAAUAGGGAUAGUUGGGGGUAUUCAUAUUUAAUUGUCAGAGGUGAAAUUCUUGGAUUUAUGAAAGAUGAACAACUGCGAAAGCAUUUGCCAAGGAUGUUUUCAUUAA
RNAcentral lists this ribosomal RNA (366 nucleotides) under uncultured eukaryote. Its description in RNAcentral is "partial 18S ribosomal RNA". It matches the Rfam family "Eukaryotic small subunit ribosomal RNA", at positions 592 to 976 of the family's 1831-position model. The record is from RNAcentral.